GGACUACUGGGGUUUCUAAUCCUGUUUGCUCCCCACGCUUUCGCACCUCAGCGUCAGUACCGGGCCAGUGAGCCGCCUUCGCCACUGGUGUUCUUGCGAAUAUCUACGAAUUUCACCUCUACACUCGCAGUUCCACUCACCUCUCCCGGACUCCAGAGUUCCAGUAUCGAAGGCAGUUCCAAGGUUGAGCCCUGGCAUUUCACCCCCGACUUAAAACUCCGCCUACGUGCGCUUUACGCCCAGUGAUUCCGAACAACGCUAGCCCCCUUCGUAUUACCGCGGCUGCUGGCAC
RNAcentral lists this ribosomal RNA (292 nucleotides) under uncultured bacterium. Its description in RNAcentral is "partial 16S ribosomal RNA". The record is from RNAcentral.